Molecule: ribosomal RNA, 1152 nt
Filed under: Triticum aestivum (bread wheat)
Lineage: Eukaryota; Viridiplantae; Streptophyta; Magnoliopsida; Poales; Poaceae
Description: partial small subunit ribosomal RNA
Source: RNAcentral
AUGCUGUCCGCCGGCCGCCGCCGUCUCUGCCUCUUCCCCUUCCCUCUCCGCCACUUCACUGCGGCCGUUUCCACCACCACCACCACCACCACCUCCGACGCUGCCGCUGCCGACCCCACUGUCUUCUACCUGGAAUCCACCUGCGCGCUCUCCCCCGCCGCCGCCGCCCGCGCUGCGGACUCCAUCCGCCUCGCCUCCCCGGAGUCCACUGCGCAGGCCGACGCCGUCCUCGACCUCCUCCGCCGGUAUGGCUUCACCGACGCCGAGAUAUCCACCACCGUCCGCAAGUUCCCCAUCGUCCUGGUCUCCGACCCCGUCAAGACACUCCAGCCCAAGCUCGACUUCCUCGCCUCCGUCGGCAUCAACGCGCCGCUCCUCCCCAGGCUCGUCUCCCUCAGCCCCGUUGUCCUCCACCGCAGCAUCCAGGACCAACUCGCCCCGCUCUUCGAAUCUCUCCGCGAGCUCCUCGGCUCCAAUGCCCGCGUCGUCACCGCGCUCCGCCAGAUGCCGUUCGUUGUCCGCUGCAGCCCCAACAGUACCCUCAACCUCGUGCUCCCCGCACUAAGAGAUGUCCACGGCUUGCCCCCGGAGGACGUCUCCAAGCUCGUCGCCGUCCACCCCGGCGUCAUCAUGCAGGGCCCCCACCGCUUGGCCGAGAUCGUCCAGGCCGUCAAGGACGUUGGCAUGGAACCCGGUGAGCCCAUGUUCGUCAACACAUUUUCCAUCAUUUCCAAGAUGAAGACCCCCACACUGGAGAGGAAGUAUGCACUCUACCAGAGCCUUGGCUUCGAGAAGGACAAUGUUGCCUUAAUGUUGCGGCGGUACCCACUCAUGAUGGCUAUCUCAGAGAAGAAGAUGAAGGAAAAUGUCGGAUUCUUGGUCGGAAAGGCGGGUCUGAGCCUGGAAGAUAUCGUGGCCUAUCCGAGCAUGCUGGUGCGGAGCUUGGAGAGCCAUCGCAGGAGGUGUGCGGUGCUCGCACUGCUGAGGAAGGAAGGUAAGCCAGAGGGGAAUCAUCAGCUGCGCAAGGUCCUCGUGGCUAAAAUGAAACGGUUCUCGCAGGUGUAUGUGCAGCCACACCAAAACGAGAUCCCUGAUGUCGUCCGGGCUCUCAACGGAGAGAUCCCUUUCGAGGGCUUCAAUGUGUUGGAGUAG